This is a long non-coding RNA of Zonotrichia leucophrys gambelii, 4353 nucleotides long. RefSeq lists it as uncharacterized. NCBI's taxonomy places the organism in Eukaryota, Metazoa, Chordata, Aves, Passeriformes, Passerellidae. The transcript has 3 exons. The record is from RefSeq and is a predicted model, not a curated record.
UUUAAAAGAUCAUUGCUUCAAUGUCUGACAUCUCAUUCCCAGGCAUCACCAUGGGAGUGGAUAUGGUUCUGGGCAUCCCCCAUGGACCCACAGGGACCAGGGGCUGCAAUCACUGCCACUGCUCUGCCAGCUGUCAGAGUAGGAGCCUCAAAGAACAGGAAUAUGAACGGAUCCACAAGAGGGGGAAAGGGCAAGUGUGUAGUACGCAUACUAGAAAUGCCAAGAGAAUAUCAAUAAAUAUUGAUAUAGAGUAGAACACUGAUAAAAUGGCACUGGAACACCAUCCUCUUGCUCACCCAAGUUUGCUUUCUGCAACAUAGUGCAACAGCAGGUCAAGGUUCACCAAAGCCGAGGCAGCAACCAGGGCACGUGGUUCCUGUUCAUUUUAAUUUAUUUUAUUCUCUGCAUGGUUUUCUCAGUGCUCUCUGCCAAAAAUACAAUUUAUUCACUUUCCUGGACAGAUGCCUUAAAGAUCCCUCUGUUCCAUUUUUAGAGCUGUUUCUGAGGCUUUAUUUAAAUGUGGCCACCUCACCAAGCAGUUUCUGAUUCCAUGUGGGUUUUUCCUGUGUGAGUGUUACCUCCAGUGGUAACCCAAACUGCUUUUUUACCUCUCAUUUCUCAUCACUGACAGUGCAAACUGGCAUGGGUUUUUUGCUGUAUUUUGUGUUAAGGAGCUCUGCAGAAAUAUUGUCUCCAAACAGAAAUUAAAUCAGAGUUGUAUGUACAUAUAAUAGCAAUUUAUAUCCUCAAAUCUUUAAGUAGUAGUCAGAACAUCUAGAUCCACAGGAGUGUUUUGAAAGUCCAGGCACCCUUUUCUAAAUGAUAAAUACAUUCACAUGUGUUUGGUUUUUUAAGAAAUCCUUCCAUGUAGGAUGAUGGACUGUGUACAGAGUUCUGAAUUGUGCUGGAGAAUGAGUCUGUGCCACAUGGACUUGGUUAUGUCAUCCAUUCAGGAAAGAUGCUGUCCAAUGCACCAAAUUCCCAUCUAAUAAUAGCACAAUAAAUAGGAACAGCUUGCUCAGCAGCAUCAGGUGGAGUCAAAGAUAAUUGUUUUAUGCUUCAUAAACAAUUUAGGCUUGUUGUUUACCAGUGAAAUAUUUAUUUAGACCCUACUGCACCCGGUGGUAUUAUAUCUGAGUGUAAGAUCUGAAGCAAGGCUGGUUAUGAAAAUAUUAUUUCUUCUUUAUAACUUCAGUUCAACAUGGAAUUCAAGGUAGACCUGCUUCCAGGGGGUCCACAUCCCAAUACAAACCUGCUGCAGAGGGGUUUUUUUCAGUGAGAAUAGUUACAUUCCCCAAGCAGAAAUAUACCCUUGUAGACCUAGCGGAAAAUAUUCCUUUGCACAUAGGUAAGAUAUCCACGAAUACAGCAUGUAACACUAAGGAUGAAAUCCUAAGUUACAAGGGCCAGGAGUUUACCUGAGUGGGUUUUUCACCCUUAUUGUCAAAAGGCAUGCAAAUAUUUGAGGCUGUAGCUGUGCUUUUGUACCCACAUUUCUGAUCCUCCAAAGACCGUCCAUGAAAAGGGGAGACAGGCUGGUUUUGAAAAGCCAGGUACUCACACACAGCAGCCCGUUUCCUUGCUUGUUAGCAGACAUAACUUAUUUAAACUUGGUAAUCCUUAUUUAAAGUUCAAGGCCAUAAUCUGGAGCCCCGCUCUCUGCUGGCUGCCGUGGCACCUCUCCAGACAUCUGUUCCUGGUGUGGGGAGCAUCACUCUCUGCAGCUGGUGCCCCGUGGCUUCACCAUGUCCACCCUGAUGUCCAACAAACCCAUCCCUCCAGUCAGAACUGUGCAGUGGGGAAGGCUGGAGGAGUUCAGGAGCUUCAGCACCUCUGAACAGUGGCCAGAGCUCUGUGACUUUUAUCUCUUACAGAAGUGGGAAGCACAGGCAUGAAACCCUGCAAGCUGUGAAUUGAGAAAGCUGUCACAGAAAUGAAAGUACCCCAGGAAUGGAUAAAGUGAGAAAGAUGCAUUUCUUCUUCUUCUGACACAUUUCUUCUUCUUCUUUGUGCAUCUUAUAGAAGGGGAGCAGCUCUCUUCUUGCUGAGGCAAUAAAGGAAAGAGCAGAGAUAAACAGGAGCAGGACAUAAGGAAAACCAAAGGCAGGAGCCAGCACUACAAAGCAAUUGGAGGACGGCAUAAAAGAGGCCAUAUGUGCAGGCAAUCACAGAGGAUAAGGGGGAACACCUGUUUUUCCAUCAAUUACAGCCUGUGAGCUUGCGGGGCAUAUUUAUUCUGGGGGCAUUACAUUUGCUUGGGUAAUAGCCCAUGACACAUUUCCAGUUUUACAGCAGACAAGCCCCAGGAAGGAGCUAAUCAUGUCUGUACAAAUGAAACACAAACAUGCCCUCCUGGCCAUACACGUGGUUGAACAGGGGCCCUAAUGACACCAGGAGCCACCCGGGGCCAGCAGGAAGCAGUUGGGGAACAACCACACGUUUGUGGCCACCUGGAUGGGUCUGUUUGCUCUGCAAAGCCAACCUGAGCAAAAAAAGCCCUGGGAAAAGGCAUGGAUGGGGCUGUAGGAGAGGUCGGUGCCCUCAGGGAAAUGGUAGUAAUCUAUUUGGAAAGCUAGUCUUGCUGAAGAAAAAUGGGAGAAAUUAAAUUGCCUGUGCUUCUUACCAAAGCCAGUACUGUGUCUAUAAUUUACAAAGACAAGAGAAAAGAAUCACAGAAGAGGAUGACCAACGUUGGAAAAGACCCUUAAGUCCAGCCCAGCACUGCCAGGCCCACCACUUAUCUACAUCCCUAAACUUGCUUAAAAUUGGUCUAGUUUCAUCAUAGAGCAUAAAAUUCCUCUCCUCAUCAUUCCACUGCCUAAAUGACUUAACUUUGGCUUGUAUUAUGCCAAUGAGGAGUAAAUCUAAGCAUCCUUAUACUGAAAUUAAAACAUGUUGGUUUGGCCAAUACAGCAUCAGGCUGAUAAGCGAGGCCUGGCAGAUAAGCCAGGCCUGAGCCUGGGUUUUGCUGCUCCUUGGGGCAGUAUCUCAAAAGUCUGUGCUAUACAACCUGCCCUGCUGGGUGACACUUGGCCACACAUCAUGAUUUUGAGUGUUUUUUGAUGAUUUUGGCUGCUUUUUGAUGCUUUUGGAUGCUUCCAAGGGCUGCCUGUUUACCUUUAGCUAAUAACUCAAGUGCUACUUUCCCUCAAAUUAUUACAAUCUGGCUUCAAAGGUGCAAGAGUUUGGGCUACUGAGGUACCAGCAGCAGCUGGAAAAGAUUUCUUUAAAUAUUCUUUGAGUCUAGGUUUAGCUGUGAUAAAGCAAUACUAUUUCCAAGUAAAUCACUAGGCCCCAUCCAAAACUGAUAAACACACAAAACCAGUUCUUCUGUUUGUGUGUCAUGCUUGUGAUUGGAGGCAUUUUUACCAGUGCUGUGGCAGCCAAAGCAAGCACCAUUUUUAAGGGUAGGGUGUGCAUUUUAGAAAAUGCUUCAAAGAUGCAGCAUCAAACUCAGAGGUUUUCCACAGUGCAGGGUCAUGCAUCCCUCCACCCAACUCUGACCCAUGGAAGGUUCAUCCAGGACCUCCAGGUUCCACUGUCUCCUCAACAGAGACUUUUCCUGGACCCAGAAAGGAAUGCCAAGUUUGUUUCUCUUAUAUCAUGGACACACCCAUCCCAUUAAAGGUGCCUGGCUCUUGCUGUGCUAGGCCCUGCAUCUGUUCUACUACUGAAUUCCCCAGGGGAUCUCCUAGAGGAGUUUUCAAAAACCUUCUGCAUUACAGGAAAUAUAAGCCCAAAAUAACAAAAAAACCCAAGGUGUCACCCUAAAUUAAAAGUGUAUUAAGUGCUGAUGAUGCAAAGUUGUUAAAUGCCUUCAUAUGUGUGGUGGGAUGGCAAGAACGGCCUGCCAGGCCUCCACCCUGCUGCUCUCUCCCUCAUCCUUCCCCAAAGGGUGGUGGGAAAGAAAUAAGCAACAGCAGCAGCUCCUGGGUUGAGAUAAGGACAGGGAGAUCUCUACUUGCCAAUUACUGUUGCAGGCUAAACAGAUACGACUUGGGGGAAAUUAAUUUCAUUUACCUAAUUCAAUUUAAUUGACAAUAAUUUAUUACUGCUUGAAAAUAAGGGUAGGAUGGUGAGAAGCAGAGAUAAGAACGAAAAACUGCUCUUCCCACUUUGUUGGCUGGAAUACAUGAUCCUGUGACUAAGUGUCCUGUGCCACAGCAAAUGGAGCUGCCCUGAUGGGCCCUGCUGAUGUCAGGGAGACUUCUGAAACCAAGAGGUCUUCUGAGAAGUCUCCUCACCACUCUAUUGGGACUUGGCUGUGAACCAAACUUGGGCUGGAAACAGCCAGAAGAAUGGAAUAAUUGUGGGAAAUAUUUUAUUGCUGCAGUGGGGCCCAGCACUGGAAUU